Molecule: ribosomal RNA, 333 nt
Filed under: uncultured Sphingobacteriales bacterium
Lineage: Bacteria; Pseudomonadati; Bacteroidota; Sphingobacteriia; Sphingobacteriales
Description: bacterial SSU rRNA
Rfam family: Bacterial small subunit ribosomal RNA
Source: RNAcentral
UCGUCAGCUCGUGCCGUGAGGUGUCGGGUUAAGUCCCACUAACGAGCGCAACCCCUAUCAUUAGUUGCCAUCAGGUAAUGCUGGGGACGUCUAAAGGAACUGCCUACGCAAGUAGUGAGGAAGGCGGGGAUGACGUCAAAUCAGCACGGCCCUUACGUCCAGGGCUACACACGUGCUACAAUGGCCGAUACAGAGGGCAGCUACCUGGUGACAGGAUGCAAAUCUCCAAAGUCGGUCUCAGUUCGGAUCGGAGUCUGCAACCCGACUCCGUGAAGUUGGAUUCGCUAGUAAUCGCGCAUCAGCCAUGGCGCGGUGAAUACGUUCCCGGGCCUU